AACAAUGGAACGUUAAAAAAAACAAGUGUUGGGAAUACGUAUAAAUAUCAGAACUAACAUAGGAUAGAUAUCAAUUGAUUUCGAGGCACUCAUCUCGUAAAUGUAAAUAUGUCGUUCACGCCAGCUUUUCUCGUAGCUGUCGCAGCAUUGGCUGUAUUACUUGAUGGCGCACUAGCAGAACCCCGCUACCGUCAAACCAAACGUGACACAUGGCCUGGAAAUCACCAUCAUGGCAUUUAACACCAUGGGUUUAAGGAACCCCGACCGGGGGACAGCGGCGCUAUACUAACGGGGCUUUCUAUUAACUACAAUACUGUAAACACAAUCUUAAACAAAAAUAAAUGUUUAAACAAAA
Molecule: long non-coding RNA, 355 nt
Organism: Macrosteles quadrilineatus (aster leafhopper)
Lineage: Eukaryota; Metazoa; Arthropoda; Insecta; Hemiptera; Cicadellidae
Exons: 3
Source: RefSeq, a predicted model, not a curated record